This 468-nucleotide ribosomal RNA is filed under the name uncultured bacterium. RNAcentral describes it as "partial 16S ribosomal RNA". It matches the Rfam family "Bacterial small subunit ribosomal RNA", at positions 28 to 507 of the family's 1533-position model. The record is from RNAcentral.
GACGAACGCUGGCGGCGUGCUUAACACAUGCAAGUCGAACGGAAAGGCUCUGCUUUUGUUGGGUGCUCGAGUGGCGAACGGUUGCGUAACACUGGAGUAACCUUCCCUAGACUUUGGGAUAACGUCAGGAAACUGGGGCUAAUACCGGAUAGUAGCUCCUGCUGCAUGUUGGGGGUUGGAAAGUUUCGGCGGUUGGGGAUGGAAUCGCGGCCUAUCAGCCUGUUGGUGGGGUAGUGGCUUACCAAGGCAUUGACGGGUAGCCGGCCUGAGAGGGUGACAGGGCACAGUGGGCCUGAGAUGCGGGCAAGACUGAUACGGGAGGCAGCAGUGGGAAAUAUUGCGAAAUAGGCGGAAGCCUGAUGCAGCAACGCCGCGUGCUGGAGGACGGCCUUAGGGGUGUAACCCGCUUUCGCCUGUAAAGAAGCGUGAGUGACGGUAACGGAUAAAGAAGAACCGGCUAACUACGUG